RNAcentral lists this small nuclear RNA (20 nucleotides) under Arabidopsis thaliana (thale cress). Its description in RNAcentral is "snRNA_13849". Lineage: Eukaryota; Viridiplantae; Streptophyta; Magnoliopsida; Brassicales; Brassicaceae. The record is from RNAcentral.
UCCCUCCGAAGUUUCCCUCA